Molecule: non-coding RNA, 70 nt
Organism: Lingula anatina
Lineage: Eukaryota; Metazoa; Brachiopoda; Lingulata; Lingulida; Lingulidae
Source: Rfam
GAAGGCAUCUUACGUGACAGCAUUAGAUUUCAAUGACAAAAUUCUAAUACUGUCAGGUAAAGAUGUCAGC